UUAAGUUCAGCGGGUAGUCCUACCUGAUUUGAGGUCAAGUUUAUCAUAUUGUCUCGAUAAAGACAGUUAGACAGCAGAGGGAUCAUGAAGCGUCUCUCUUGGCAUAGAUAGUCUAUCACACCAAUAGAGUGCAAAACUCCUCAACUAAUGCUUUUCAGAAGAGCCCACCACUUUAUCAGCGGCCGGCAACUCCCAAUGUC
This 200-nucleotide unclassified non-coding RNA is filed under the name Amanita sp. Its description in RNAcentral is "partial internal transcribed spacer 2". Lineage: Eukaryota; Fungi; Basidiomycota; Agaricomycetes; Agaricales; Amanitaceae. The record is from RNAcentral.